UUCACCCGUAGACCACCACCAUGGCCACGGAAGGUGUUGCUGCUGGAGGUGUGGUGGCUGUUAAUACUGCUUUACAAGAGGUGUUGAAGACUGUCCUCACCCAUGAUGGCCUAGCACGUGGAAUUUGCAAAGCUGCUGAAGGGUCAGGCCCAUCUUUUGUGUGUUUGCAUCCAACUGUGAUGAGCCUAUGUCAAGUUCAUAGAGGUUCUUUGUGCUGAACACCAAAUCAACCUACUUAAGGUUGAUGACAAGAAGCUAGGGGGAAUGGUUAGGUCUCUGUAAAAUUGACAGAGAGGGGAAACCCCGUAAAGUGGUUCGUUGCAGUUGUGUAGUAGUU
RNAcentral lists this long non-coding RNA (337 nucleotides) under Homo sapiens (human). Its description in RNAcentral is "non-protein coding lnc-PLA2G15-4:1". Lineage: Eukaryota; Metazoa; Chordata; Mammalia; Primates; Hominidae. The record is from RNAcentral.